RNAcentral lists this ribosomal RNA (477 nucleotides) under uncultured bacterium. RNAcentral's name for it is "bacterial SSU rRNA". It matches the Rfam family "Bacterial small subunit ribosomal RNA", at positions 1 to 526 of the family's 1533-position model. The record is from RNAcentral.
AUUAGAGUUUGAUCAUGGCUCAGAAUGAACGCUGGCGGCAUGCCUAACACAUGCAAGUCGAACGAAGGCUUCGGCCUUAGUGGCGCACGGGUGCGUAACGCGUGGGAAUCUGCCCUCAGGUUCGGAAUAACAGCGAGAAAUUGCUGCUAAUACCGGAUGAUAUCGCGAGAUCAAAGAUUUAUCGCCUGAGGAUGAGCCCGCGUAGGAUUAGCUAGUUGGUGUGGUAAAGGCGCACCAAGGCGACGAUCCUUAGCUGGUCUGAGAGGAUGAUCAGCCACACUGGGACUGAGACACGGCCCAGACUCCUACGGGAGGCAGCAGUGGGGAAUAUUGGACAAUGGGCGAAAGCCUGAUCCAGCAAUGCCGCGUGAGUGAUGAAGGCCUUAGGGUUGUAAAGCUCUUUUACCCGGGAUGAUAAUGACAGUACCGGGAGAAUAAGCUCCGGCUAACUCCGUGCCAGCAGCCGCGGUAAUAAUC